CCUACGGGGGGCAGCAGUGGGGAAUAUUGGGCAAUGGGCGCAAGCCUGACCCAGCAACGCCGCGUGAGGGAAGAAGGCUCUCGGGUUGUAAACUUCUUUUGUCAAGGACGAGAAGACGACGGUACCUGUCGAAUAAGCCACGGCUAACUACGUGACAGCAGCCGCGGUAAUAAGUAGGUGGCAGGCGUUGUCCGGAUUUACUGGGUGUAAAGGGCGUGUAGUCGGGUUGACAAGUCAGAUGUGAAAUCCGGGGGCUUAACCACCGAAUUGCAUUUGGAACUGUUGGUCUUGAGUAUCGGAGAGGCAGGCGGAAUUCCUAGUGUAGCAGUGAAAUGCGUAGAUAUUAGGAAGAACACCAGUGGCGAAGGCAGCCUGCUGGACGACAACUGACGGUGAGGCGCGAAAGCGUGGGGAGCAAACAGGAUUAGAUACCCUAGUAGUC
RNAcentral lists this ribosomal RNA (442 nucleotides) under uncultured bacterium. RNAcentral's name for it is "partial 16S ribosomal RNA". It matches the Rfam family "Bacterial small subunit ribosomal RNA", at positions 338 to 795 of the family's 1533-position model. The record is from RNAcentral.